AUUGAACGCUGUUGGCAGGCUUAACACAUGCAAGUCGAACGAUGAUUGUCUAGCUUGCUAGAGAAGAUUAGUGGCGGACGGGUGAGUAACAUUUAGGAAUCUGCCUAGUAGUGGGGGAUAGCUCGGGGAAACUCGAAUUAAUACCGCAUACGACCUACGGGUGAAAGGGGGCGCAAGCUCUUGCUAUUAGAUGAGCCUAAAUCAGAUUAGCUAGUUGGUGGGGUAAAGGCCCACCAAGGCGACGAUCUGUAACUGGUCUGAGAGGAUGAUCAGUCACACCGGAACUGAGACACGGUCCGGACUCCUACGGGAGGCAGCAGUGGGGAAUAUUGGACAAUGGGGGCAACCCUGAUCCAGCCAUGCCGCGUGUGUGAAGAAGGCCUUUUGGUUGUAAAGCACUUUAAGCAGGGAGGAGAGGCUAAUGGUUAAUACCCAUUAGAUUAGACGUUACCUGCAGAAUAAGCACCGGCUAACUCUGUGCCAGCAGCCGCGGUAAUACAGAGGGUGCGAGCGUUAAUCGGAAUUACUGGGCGUAAAGCGAGUGUAGGUGGCUCAUUAAGUCACAUGUGAAAUCCCCGGGCUUAACCUGGGAACUGCAUGUGAUACUGGUGGUGCUAGAAUAUGUGAGAGGGAAGUAGAAUUCCAGGUGUAGCGGUGAAAUGCGUAGAGAUCUGGAGGAAUACCGAUGGCGAAGGCAGCUUCCUGGCAUAAUAUUGACACUGAGAUUCGAAAGCGUGGGUAGCAAACAGGAUUAGAUACCCUGGUAGUCCACGCCGUAAACGAUGUCUACUAGCCGUUGGGGUCCUUGAGACUUUAGUGGCGCAGUUAACGCGAUAAGUAGACCGCCUGGGGAGUACGGCCGCAAGGUUAAAACUCAAAUGAAUUGACGGGGGCCCGCACAAGCGGUGGAGCAUGUGGUUUAAUUCGAUGCAACGCGAAGAACCUUACCUGGUCUUGACAUAGUGAGAAUCCUGCAGAGAUGCGGGAGUGCCUUCGGGAAUUCACAUACAGGUGCUGCAUGGCUGUCGUCAGCUCGUGUCGUGAGAUGUUGGGUUAAGUCCCGCAACGAGCGCAACCCUUUUCCUUAUUUGCCAGCGGGUUAAGCCGGGAACUUUAAGGAUACUGCCAGUGACAAACUGGAGGAAGGCGGGGACGACGUCAAGUCAUCAUGGCCCUUACGACCAGGGCUACACACGUGCUACAAUGGUAGGUACAGAGGGUUGCUACACAGCGAUGUGAUGCUAAUCUCAAAAAGCCUAUCGUAGUCCGGAUUGGAGUCUGCAACUCGACUCCAUGAAGUCGGAAUCGCUAGUAAUCGCAGAUCAGAAUGCUGCGGUGAAUACGUUCCCGGGCCU
Molecule: ribosomal RNA, 1355 nt
Filed under: uncultured bacterium
Lineage: Bacteria
Description: bacterial SSU rRNA
Rfam family: Bacterial small subunit ribosomal RNA
Source: RNAcentral